GUGAGGAAUAUUGGUCAAUGGGCGAGAGCCUGAACCAGCCAAGUCGCGUGAAGGAAGAAGGAUCUAUGGUUCGUAAACUUCUUUUGCAGGGGAAUAAAGUGCAGGACGUGUUCUGUUUUGUAUGUACCCUGAGAAUAAGGAUCGGCUAACUCCGUGCCAGCAGCCGCGGUAAUACGGAGGAUCCGAGCGUUAUCCGGAUUUAUUGGGUUUAAAGGGUGCGUAGGUGGUUUGAUAAGUCAGCGUUGAAAGUUUGCGGCUUAACUGUAAAAAUGCCGUUGAAACUGUCGGACUUGAGUGUAAAUGAGGUAGGCGGAAUGCGUGGUGUAGCGGUGAAAUGCAUAGAUAUCACGCAGAACUCCGAUUGCGAAGGCAGCUUACUAAGCUACAACUGACACUGAAGCACGAAAGCGUGGGGAUCAAACAGGAUUAGAAACCCGUGUAGUCC
This 445-nucleotide ribosomal RNA is filed under the name uncultured bacterium. RNAcentral describes it as "partial 16S ribosomal RNA". It matches the Rfam family "Bacterial small subunit ribosomal RNA", at positions 354 to 796 of the family's 1533-position model. The record is from RNAcentral.